AGCCGGGUUACGGUGCCCAACUGCG
RNAcentral lists this small nuclear RNA (25 nucleotides) under Arabidopsis thaliana (thale cress). RNAcentral's name for it is "snRNA_18346". The record is from RNAcentral. Lineage: Eukaryota; Viridiplantae; Streptophyta; Magnoliopsida; Brassicales; Brassicaceae.